RNAcentral lists this ribosomal RNA (65 nucleotides) under Dahlia dissecta. Its description in RNAcentral is "5.8S ribosomal RNA". Lineage: Eukaryota; Viridiplantae; Streptophyta; Magnoliopsida; Asterales; Asteraceae. RNAcentral also lists the same sequence under 5 other names. The record is from RNAcentral.
AGUUUUUGAACGCAAGUUGCGCCCGAAGCCAUCCGGUUUAGGGCACGUCUGCCUGGGCGUCACGC